AGGAAUAUUGGUCAAUGGGCGAGAGCCUGAACCAGCCAAGUAGCGUGCAGGAUGACGGCCCUAUGGGUUGUAAACUGCUUUUAUAAGGGAAUAAAGUUAGUCUCGUGAGACUUUUUGCAUGUACCUUAUGAAUAAGGACCGGCUAAUUCCGUGCCAGCAGCCGCGGUAAUACGGAAGGUCCGGGCGUUAUCCGGAUUUAUUGGGUUUAAAGGGAGCGUAGGCCGGAGAUUAAGCGUGUUGUGAAAUGUAGACGCUCAACGUCUGCACUGCAGCGCGAACUGGUUUCCUUGAGUACGCACAAAGUGGGCGGAAUUCGUGGUGUAGCGGUGAAAUGCUUAGAUAUGACGAAGAACUCCGAUUGCGAAGGCAGCUUACGGGAGCACAACUGACGCUGAAGCUCGAAGGUGCGGGUAUCAAACAGGAUUAGAUACCCUGGUAGUCCGCACAGUAAACGAUGGAUGCCCGUUGUUAGUUCACUUAUGAAUUAGCGACCAAGCGAAAGCAUUAAGCAUCCCACCUGGGGAGUACGCCGGCAACGGUGAAACUCAAAGGAAUUGACGGGGGCCCGCACAAGCGGAGGAACAUGUGGUUUAAUUCGAUGAUACGCGAGGAACCUUACCCGGGCUUGAAUUGCAGACGAACGAUUCAGAGAUGAAGAGGCCCUUCGGGGCGUCUGUGAAGGUGCUGCAUGGUUGUCGUCAGCUCGUGCCGUGAGGUGUCGGCUUAAGUGCCAUAACGAGCGCAACCCCUUUUUUCAGUUGCCAUCAGGUGAUGCUGGGCACUCUGGAGAUACUGCCACCGUAAGGUGUGAGGAAGGUGGGGAUGACGUCAAAUCAGCACGGCCCUUACGUCCGGGGCUACACACGUGUUACAAUGGCAGGUACAGAGAGACGGUCCCUUGCAAAAGGGAUCAAAUCCUCAAAGCCUGUCUCAGUUCGGACUGGGGUCUGCAACCCGACCCCACGAAGCUGGAUUCGCUAGUAAUCGCGCAUCAGCCAUGGCGCGGUGAAUACGUUCCCG
Molecule: ribosomal RNA, 1020 nt
Filed under: uncultured bacterium
Lineage: Bacteria
Description: bacterial SSU rRNA
Rfam family: Bacterial small subunit ribosomal RNA
Source: RNAcentral